Molecule: long non-coding RNA, 2121 nt
Organism: Esox lucius (northern pike)
Lineage: Eukaryota; Metazoa; Chordata; Actinopteri; Esociformes; Esocidae
Exons: 3
Source: RefSeq, a predicted model, not a curated record
GCACGCCGAGCCACGACCAGGGGAAAUGGCACCCAGGUCAGAAAUCCCCUGACAAAUAGCCCUGACAGGGAUGGAAAAAUACCAGAGCCAGAGGAUUGUCCCUUUAAAUAACGUCAUUCCAGAGCUAUGUCUCCCCAACAGGCCGACGACAUCUCCACUUCCCCGUUUUAGUGGUGUACGACGCGUUACCCUAUAAAUCCCCUCGCAACUAAUGAAACGACGCAGCAGGUAUUAAUGAAAUACACCGUGUUCCAAGCUACUAGCCAAAUCACAGCCGAGGGCGUCCCACCCUAGGGAAAGGCGAGCCUGUGAGGUGGAAGGAUAACAACAACAGCAGCAGCAGAAGCUACAUUCCAACCGUAGCGAAAGACGGGCUGAAACGGCUUCCUGGUGUCGGUGUCAUUAGGGGUGUGGAGAGUGGCUCCCGCUGUGCAACCGGCUUGCCGUGCGUUUCCACUUGCUGUGUUGACGUGAUGACAGUCUCCCUGACCCGUUUCCCCGAGGAAACGUCUAACGGGUGGGAGGUUGGCUGCCGGUGGUCUGAGCCUGUCAGGUUUGAAUUGGUCUGGGUGUGUAACAGAGGGCCUGAAUUCAGAGUCUUGGCUAGGUGACAGGGACACUGCUAUGGAGAUGUCACCUCUCAUACGCCACACAACCGUGAACAGAGAGAAACAGACUGUGGACGACAUUGUCAGCAAUAAUUACCGGAGUCUGCCUCUGCCAUUGGUAAAACAACUGUCGCCUGUCGGAGCCUUCUGUCCACCUCUGGCCCGUCUUGUCCCGAGUUGACCCAACACAGCAUGGAAUGGCCAUAAUACAUCAGGUAGAGGAGAAACAGAAGAUGUGCUGGACAUGGCAUAUGGCGCUUUCCGGUAUGCCUCAGCCAGUCUCUGUUCUCUCUCUCUCGCUCUCUCCCAAUCAGUCACCUUGAUUUAUCGCUCUUCUUUUUUCUUUUAUCUCCAGCUCUCUCUCUGUCCUAUAUAUCCCUCUUUCUCUCAAUUAUAUCUCUCCCUCACACUGAUGAGGGCCAGGCCAGUCUCUCUGAUGACAGGAGGAACUCCAUAAGGAACUGGCAAAGGACAGGAACGAGAGAAGAGAGGGAAAUAAAUGAGCACAGGGGAUAUGACUCAUAUAGACACCGCCAGCUCAUUUCAUCUUGUCCUCUGGGUUCUAUUUUUCACACCCAGAGGAUGGGGGGAACAUUGUGUUGAAAACCUAAUGUAUAGCAUGCCCUAAUGACUAGAUGGAGGGCCAAAGACAGUAUCUGUAACACUUUACCUAAAUUAACAUUAGCACAUGUAGUUUCAUUCUGAGCCAAACAUUGUGCCAUGGCAGAAUGGUUCUGGACAGUGGAGAAUUAGCUGGCUGGCUAGAACGGGUACAUUUCCAGUAAUUUUGAUUAAUGUGCACUGUCUCUGUGAAACUAAACGUAAUAAAGCUAGAUAAAUACAUUUGGUCCAUGGUUGCCGGGAAAUUGAAUAGUAGAGUUAAGCAGCACUUAGAGACUCCAAGAGUAAGAGCUGUCCAGUUGCUUCCUUGGCUGAGCAGCAAAGUAGCUCCUGGGUUCCAGAUCAGGGUGUUGUUUUAUCAGUACUCCUUCAUUAAGCUAAUGCAAAGCCCAGCUUCUUCCUGCCGCAACCUCGUCGGAUCAUGUGAUGUUUGACUACUGAUUAAACAUUAACGCUAUGCAUGCGCCGUUGUGUGUGUGUGUGUUCGUGUGUGCCCGUUUGUCUAUACGCAUGUACAGUUGCGUGUGUGUGAGAGCGAGACGGCGACCGCUCACCUAAGGAAUCCGAAAAUAAACAAAGAACCGAGGUAGAUUGUCCUCAUCGCUCAAGACGAAAUGUGGUUACAGGAAGUGUCCCGUCUGAGAGGACAGGAGCAGGGAGGACGGGGUUAGGAGACAAGAGCAGUGAACGGAGCAGAGAGGGAACCCAUUACUGAGCCCAUCCAUCUCUGUCUCAGUCAACAGCCUGGGGAGAACCAGGUGACGUAGAGGUGCCAGGCCUAGAAGUGAGCAAAGCAGAUCAAGAGAAAAGGAUUAAGAGUGUGUGGGCAUGUGUUUGGGUGCUAUCUAGGCCAGAGUAGAAAACAGCCAUCAGGUGUGUGUGUGUGUGUGUG